RNAcentral lists this ribosomal RNA (352 nucleotides) under uncultured Leptolinea sp. RNAcentral describes it as "bacterial SSU rRNA". It matches the Rfam family "Bacterial small subunit ribosomal RNA", at positions 1013 to 1382 of the family's 1533-position model. The record is from RNAcentral. Lineage: Bacteria; Bacillati; Chloroflexota; Anaerolineae; Anaerolineales; Anaerolineaceae.
GACCUUCGGGAGCUUGCACAGGUGCUGCAUGGCUGUCGUCAGCUCGUGUCGUGAGAUGUUCGGUUAAGUCCGCUAACGAGCGCAACCCUCGCUGUGCGUUACAAGUGUCACACGGUACUGCCGGUCUUAAGCCGGAGGAAGGUGGGGAUGACGUCAAGUCAGCAUGGCCUUUAUGUCCCUGGGCUACACACACGCUACAAUGGCCAACACAAUAGGUUGCUAAGCCGCGAGGUGGAGCCAAUCCUCAAAGUUGGUCUCAGUUCAGAUUGUAGGCUGCAACCCGCCUGCAUGAAGAUGGAGUUGCUAGUAACCGCAGGUCAGCUAUACUGCGGUGAAUACGUUCCCGGGGCUU